RNAcentral lists this long non-coding RNA (3605 nucleotides) under Capsella rubella. Its description in RNAcentral is "long non-coding RNA (CRUB_LNC003417)". The record is from RNAcentral. Lineage: Eukaryota; Viridiplantae; Streptophyta; Magnoliopsida; Brassicales; Brassicaceae.
AGUUUACAGAUAUUAAUGUACAUUCACAUCGGAAAACCGAGAAUAACACUGAAAACCAAACAACAGAAAUAAAGAAAACUACACCAAAAUUAAACUUCUUUCAACAAAAUUCUGAUGAAGUUGUAUUGUCUUGAUUAAAAAAUAAAAUAAGGUGUUGAGUCCAAAACUGUAAUAUAUAUAAAUAACAUAUUGUCUUUCUCUUUUCUUUUUCUUUUUAGCGUAAGUAUAAUAUUUUCGUUGGAAAAAAUCGAAUGCAAACCAUAUAAACCAAAAUGGAAAGAGAUCAGAGUAAGAAGAAGACUGACACCACCGCAGCCGGGGACAAGAGCACGGCCAAGAGGGAGUGAGCAAGUGUCGACAAGAUGAACGAUGAGAGGUGUGGCUCUUCCUUGGUCCCAUGGUGUUAUCUCUUCUUCCCAACAUUUCUCCCAUCCACCUGCAAUAUAUACAUUUUAUAUUAUAUAUUACGUACGGUAAAAAUAUAAAUGUUUAAAUAACUUUCUGGUCUAUAUAAAGCCUCUUACAAAAAAAAAAAAAAAAACUUUCUGGUCUAUAUAUGGAUAAUUAAAUUCACAAAAAUGAUAUAAGUCAAUCACCAUUACGAAUUGAAUUUCUGAUGAGUAGAAAAUUCGUUAAACUUAACAAUUAAUAUACAUGAACUUUGUAUGUUCAGAAAGCUGUUGAUUUUGGUUAUAACUAAUUGUAAACUCAUUGCUAUAUAUGGACAGAAGACCUAUAUAAAUCUCUGUUAAUUGUGAAAAAAAGAAAGAAUCAUCAAGGGAAGAAUGAAUAUGAAUCACCGACCUUCUUCAACAGUUUUGUGCAGGAAAGUAGCAACUUCUUCAGGAGUAGGAAUAACGUUUCCUCCACCGUUGCUCUGACCUUGACGUUCUUCAGCCAUUUCUAGGGGUUCUCAAGCUCUAUCCCUCUCUUUCUUCUAUUUAUUGCUUUAUCCUUUAUAUAUACAAUAUAUAGGGAAUAUUUUUCUUUUUGAUGGUCUUGAAAUUGUGAAAAACUUUUAACACAUGCUACUUAUCUAUAAAGACGAUACAAAAUUGAAUUAUUAUUAUUAUAUUUAACAAAAAGGAAAUUAAAACAGUAAUUUAACAAACGUGAUCUUGCAUAAAGGUUAUAUAUAUAUAUAUAUUUUGCUUUCACCCUCGAGCCUUUCUGCCCAUUUUUGUGUGCCUUCUCAUUGGACCACGUUGCACUAUUUUAGUUUUUUUUUAAGUUAGGUCCUCAAUAUUCAGUUAUUCACGAUGGGGCGAUUGUAAAAAUGAUCCGAGUAAAUUACUCAUUUCAUUAUUGUAACGUAGAAAAAAAAGAUAGAUAUAUAAAAUGUCGAAAGGCCAUGAACAUGAUGCAUUCUUAUCCAUCGUAUGAAAGUCAGAAGCAAGUGGGAUCAGUGGCCCUGGUUUCCACUCAAUUAUUCACCAAUUCCCACCACAAUAAUUAGAUAUUGAACAUUUUCUGUGUACAACAUUCAUUUAAAGAACUCUUUCUGAGGGGCUCACAAGUCUCACGACUCACGAGUGAGAUUAAUUAGGUGUGAUCAAGGGACCACACAUAAAUUUAAUAGAAGCAAUGAAACAGAGUAAUUAAGAUCUCACACUACUGGAUUAUAUGUGAGUACGUCGUGUUCUUAACUUAAACCAAAAAAACGACGAAAACGUUUUGGAGUGUGACACGCCUCUUUCUCUUUGAGGUGUGCCAAUUUCACCAACAAGGAAUCAUACUGUGGAUUAUUAAUAAAAAUUUCUUAGAAGGAAAGAAACUUGAAAGCUUGCAAAGACAAAAACUCUAAUUGGAAAAGGAAAAUCUUUUAUUACAUUGAAACACAAGCGCUGGAUAAACAAGCACACACCAAAUGAAAGAGAGGAAACAUAUAUGGGACAUAACAACAAGGGGAUAGAUCUGGUCCCUCGUAGAGUAGACGCUGGUCACGGUCUGAUAAGUAUCACAUUCAAACAUUACAUAUUUUACAUAGAGUACUAUGAUGGUACUCAAUUUAUUCUUUAAUAUUGAUUACAACAUUACACACAUAUAACACUGAUCUUACUAAACAGCGUAAGAUCUCUCUCUCUCUUGAAUCAGUUGAUCUUCUUCCACCUCGCAAGCUUCUCUUUGCCCUGUUUUUAUGCGUACACCCGAAGAAGGAUGAUCAUUAUAAUAUGAUUUGAACGGCAGUUAGUUAACUUAUAAAUUUAUACUAUUUUAUGUAACGGGGAAAAAAAGGAAAUCAUACUAUAAACGACAUCAGUCAGUAAUAAAAAUAUCAACUUUUAUUCUGAUAUAACAUAUAUGUCAAGUGUCAACUCGCACAACAUGAGUGUAUUAUUUGUACCUUACGAGUGGGGAUGGAGUCUGGGUUCUCCUCAAUGGACACUGCUUUAAAUCCUACCGGAACCAACACGUCUUCGUAUCUGAACAUCAGAAAAUUAAGAAUAUAACAAAACUACAAAACACUAGUUCAAAAGGAAUGAUUAAUUACGUAUAAGACACAUUUGAGGGUUAAUUUUACGUACGAAGACAAAGCUACUUUGUAGGGAGCUCCACCCUCGUGGUCGGUCAUCUAAUCAAUAAAAACGCAAAGUAUUAAUGAUUCAUAUAAUAUACUCUGUGAUUAUACAUCUAUUAUAUGGUUGAAUUAUGGAACAUUCACACAUGAAGAGAUAUAUGAAAAUAAUCACCGGAUACAUAAGUGUUAUGAGCUCGCCGUCAGGUUUUAGGAGUUCAUGCAUGGAUUUACCCCAUGCAGUUCUCAUCUCCGGUUCAAUUGCGCAGAAAAACCUGAAUAUAUAUAUUGUUAGUUAAUUAGUAACUACUCGAUCGUUGCUAAAGUUUUUAUUUUCAUUGUUAAUUAAACUCACACAUAAUCGAAGAUGAGGUCGAAUUUUUCGUUAGGACGCCAAGUGAAGACAUCUUCCUUCACAAACGAAAAGUAUUCUACCUUCGGUGAGGAGCCGUAAGUCUAUAUAUAAUCAAAGGAAAGCGAUUAGUUUUUUCAGUAUGUGUUUAAAGACAAACGUUAUUUAUCAGGAUUGUGAGGUGAUAAAUGAUCAGAAAGACUAAAAAAAUGUGGAUAACCUCAUUAGCUUUCUUGAGAGCCUUUUCAGAAAUAUCCAAUCCAACGACGAAACGUUUAGGGCUUGCCAUGGCAACGACAUCGUGCCCCUAAUCACAUUCGUAUAUAUCGUAUACACAUAAGUUAAAUUACAAGCAUUUAAUUGUUUUAGAAUUUUACACUAGCUAGAAAGCGACUAAACAUGAAAUACUUACGCGAUUCAACCUAGAAAGUGAAACGUGAUGAUAUUCAUUAGGUUAAAAUUAUCUUAACAUACAAGAAACCAAGAUUAAAACCAAAGACCAACCAAAAUAAUUAAAGAAAACUACACCAUAUAUUUUCUUAAAAUUUAUCUUUGUUGUUUUAAUAUCCAAAAUCUAAAAGUAUUAUAUGAUAUUUUAAAACUAAAAACCGAACUCAAAUUAAAUUGAGAAAGAGAGGACUAAUGAAUUACUCCGCCACAGCCGGGGACAAGAGUACGGCCAAGAGGGAGAGAUGAAGAGUCGAGAAGAUGAAGAAUGAGAGGUGUGGCUCUUCCUUG